UUAUACUCUUUAAAUGAGAGUUACACUCUUUAGGCCAAAAUUGCACUCUUUAGAUAAACUUUACACUUUCUUUUUCUCUUCUUCUUCCUCCUCUUCCUUCCUCUCAUCCUCAUCUACAUCCUCCUCCACCCCCAUCCUCUCCCAUUUUUUUUUUCUUCUUCUUUUUCUUUCUCAUCCCCAAGCAUCAUCCCCGACAAUUAA
Molecule: long non-coding RNA, 201 nt
Filed under: Ananas comosus (pineapple)
Lineage: Eukaryota; Viridiplantae; Streptophyta; Magnoliopsida; Poales; Bromeliaceae
Description: long non-coding RNA (ACOM_LNC021030)
Source: RNAcentral